GAUGAAGAACGUAGCGAAAUGCGAUAAGUAAUGUGAAUUGCAGAAUUCAGUGAAUCAUCGAAUCUUUGAACGCACAUUGCGCCCGCCAGUAUUCUGGCGGGCAUGCCUGUUCGAGCGUCAUUUCAACCAUCAAGCCCCAGGCUUGUGUUGGGGACCUGCGGCUGCCGCAGGCCCUGAAAACCAGUGGCGGGCUCGCUAGUCACACCGAGCGUAGUAGCAUACACAUCGCUCAGGGCGUGCUGCGGGUUCCGGCCGUUAAACCCCUUUUUUACCCAAGGUUGACCUCGGAUCAGGUAGGAAGACCCGCUGAACUUAAACAUAUCAAUAAGCGGAGGA
Molecule: unclassified non-coding RNA, 336 nt
Filed under: soil metagenome
Description: partial contains 5.8S ribosomal RNA, internal transcribed spacer 2, and large subunit ribosomal RNA
Rfam family: 5.8S ribosomal RNA (bases 1-120)
Source: RNAcentral